UCCGCCGCCCGAGCUUCUGAACGCCUCAGGAGGCUUCGGGUUGCCUGAGCCUGUGGGGAAGGGAAAUAAAGCCCGGCCGAGGCAGGAGGCGGCGAAGGGCCCCGCGCGCCCCACAGCCCAGACAAAGCUGCGUCAAGAGAGCGGCUUUUUUUUUAUCCAGUCGGGUCCACCGAGGAAACCAAGUCGGGCUCCGCCACACGUGCGGCAGCCCGGCGGGGGCCGGACACCGCCCCCACAACCACCGCCCCCACAACUGCCGACCCCGCAGUACCCACGAGCACAGCCCCCGAGCGCCUCAGGGCGGGGCAAGGGGCGCGAACGCCGGCCAGGGUCCCCGCCCGCAGCGGCCCCGACACGCUCGAGGCCCCCGCGGACUCCCGCCCCUCGCCGGCCGUUCCUUCGCCGGCCGGACCGUCGGGCCGCGAGAAACAAAGGAGCCGCCGCUGCUCCCACCCGCGCCCGCUUCACCGCGUACCCCUCCCCAGCGCGUCGGGCCAGGCUCGCCCUCACCCGUCCCUAGGUCCGCGCACCGGCUGCCUGCGGCCCUUAGACGGCAGGCCCGGCAGAGCCGGGGCCUCGGGUGCGCGGCCGGCCGGCUCGGGGCCGCACUCACCGCUGCAGCACCAGGACGACGGGGAGCCGUUGGGGAACUUGGCUGAGUCCGGAGCGAUGCAGACGCUGGAACUGAGGUGCGGGCACUCCAUGGCCACGAGGACCGUGGCAGGGAGGACAGAGGCUCCGGGGCCGAACGAGGCGGGGGCGGAGGGACUCUGGAGGCUCCGUCUGGGGUCGCUCCUCGCCGGGCGCUAGGCAGACAGCGGCUGCGUCCCGAGCCCUUGCGUCAAAGAAAGCAAGGGCUUCCGGGCGCCGGGUUUUCCCGCCCGCCCUCUCUCAGCACUCCGCUCCGAAGAACGUGGAAUUCCGGGAUCCGGGUUCUGCCGCCACCUCUAGACCCGAGGCUUCCGCCUUCCCGGUCAGGCCCCGCCCCCAAGGCCGGCUCCGCCCCUGUGCACUCCCGCGGGUGGGGUCUCCGCGCGCGCUACCCUCAUCUGAUAGCUCAGGUUCCUGCAGCGCUUGGAAGUGACUUUCCCAAUUCCGCUCCCCUGGGCGGCUGCGGCUUCCCUGACUCAGGGAAUGGGGCUACCGGGCCCCGGCAGACAAGUCCGGUCCGCUGCGUCUAUCGGGUCCGGCGAAGGAGACUGAUAUUGCUUGGCGUGUUGGUCUGACUACAACGCGGCUUAGUGGUAGAAAAAUCUGGCCAAGUAACAGAGGGACAGAAAGAAAAUACAAACCACUCGGGCAGACGGGCACCGUAACCCUCCCAUUUUACCAAGCAAGAAACAAGCCCGGGGAGAUUAAGCCUGGCCCCGUGUUUGCGCCAGUGGGCUGCUUGGGUCCCAGAGCAAUCUAAUUCUGUCCUUUGAGACAGGUGUGGUUCUGAGCCGGUUCUGAGUUCUGCGCACACGGCCGUAGCUGGAAGAUGAGUGGCUGAGCCCAUUGGGGCACCCACGAACCUGGAUUCAGACCUUGUCACCGUGAUUAACUUUCAGCGUUACCAGGAGCACGUCGUCCUGAACUUUACAAAUCUCUCUGCUGGAAAUUUAAGUGAAAUACAUGUAACCUGGUUUUCGAGGUCCCGCCAACAGGUGAUAAAAAGGGAAGGGAUCUAACAUUGUUGGACGCGCUGAACCGCUUCCCUGCCAGGCACUUUGCAAUACAAAAUACCUCAUUUAAGCUUCGCUAUACCCUACAACUGAUGUUACGUUUCUCUUUUUACCGCGGGGGACAUCGAGUCUAUUAAUUUGCUAAUCCGUGCCGAGAUUAGGUCCUCUGCUCUCUGGCCUAUUUUAGAAAAGAGUUUAUGGGAGGGCAAACCUCUAGGGGCUGCUUGGAUUCGCCUUACACCGGAGCCGGAGGAGCCUGCGACUUAACUAGGGACAGUCUUAAGGACACCAGGGCUGUUACAAAUAUUGCCUCAGAAGUUUGGGCUCCUUGAAAACCCGUGAAAGGAGCCACAAGGCCAGAAGGCAAGCAAGGGGAGGGGGAAGACUGAUGUAGCAAUUCAAUGGGCAGAGUGGGGGGGGGGGAAGGAAGGUCCGGAAAUUAUUAACUGGGCCGGGUAGUGGUUAGAGUGGGGCACCUCCCUGAAGUGCAAUCUUGGAGCAGCCCAAGGUCACUCCCUUGGUCACUUCUCACUACUCCCUCAACCCCAGCAGUCCUCUGCUAAUGGUGUCCACCUUCCUGCAGCAUCUUUGAGACCUUUCCCCCCCUUUGUUUCUUCAAAGUUCCUUUGCCCUUUUUCAAAUUAUAUUAUUGAAGUUAUUGCAGUGAGGAGUUGUGGAAAGUGCAUAGGAAGCCAGGUAAGCAAAUGUUCAAAUCUUAAUUCUGCCAUUAUUUGGUGGCUAACCUUAGCAAGUGUUUUUAGUCCUUACCCCUCCCCCAACUUUUUUCUUAAUCUGUAAAACUGGAAAAAUAAUACGUAUCUGAAAAAGAAAUUAAAUCACGAGAUUUACUACCAUGUAGUAGGUAUUAAAUAUAGUUUUGUUUAUAACAGCAGUUGUGGGAUGCUUCCCACAGGAUAAACAAUAAUAUCUAACCUUUGCUCAAGCUCUUCCAUCUAUCUCCUCCUACCAGCCUAUUUAUCUUUCAGGCUUGGCUCAACCAAUCUUCUGUUUCUCUCAGGACAUGUUCCCCAUUUGGUAUCUAUAGCCCCUCAUUUGGCCAUGGAACAGUCUGACUCAUGCUGUCUUAUACUGGUAUGUAAUGUUACUUUUUUCACCCUCUCAGAAACUGUUUCCUAAUCCCCUAAACCUCAGUUUAAACACCACUUCCUGCAGGGAGGCCUUUUCUGACCCUGCUCCACCCCCAGGGUACCUCCCAGGGUGUGAUGCCCUUGACUGCCCCCACACUGCCUUUAUAAAACAUUCUUCUGCAUGUAAUUAUUUGUUUAAUGUCUGUCUUCCCCUUGGAGGUCCGUAAGGGUAGCAAACAAGUCUGUCUGGUUUCCUGCUUUAUUUCUAACAUAGUAUGUAGAACAUGGAAGGUGUCCAAUAAAUAAAGGGUUCAAUGAAUGGAAGAGUGGGUGAGUGAUGCUUUAGCAAUAUUUAGGAAGAAAGGAGUUUAGGAAGUGCCUAUAUAUAUAUAUAUAUAUAUAUAUAUAUAUAUAUAUAUGUAUCAGGUAUUUUCCACCUUGAGAGUAAACUGUACAUUUCAAUUCUGAGUUUGUGAUUUUAAAAGGAUCAGACAUGUUAAAGCAUCUUGUAAGGUAUAAACUGCUAAAACAGAUAUAUUAGUAUUAUAUAUUAUAGUAUUAUUGUCAUCUCUCCAUAACCAGAAUAAAAAUUCCGUGGAACAGGGGCCCUAUUUUGGCCAUUCUUGAUUUUGGUCGUCCCCUAAAGGGUAGACUCAGGCAGUCCAAAGAAGUCCAAUGGAAUCAGAGACCAGUUUCCUGGGGCUUUUGGUAGCCUGCCCUAAAACAGAGAACUUUCCUGUGUCUUUGAAAGUUUUCACAGUAAGAAAAAUUUGAAGGGGGGGGAACCCCUCAGUGAGUAAAUGUGUCAAACGGGGGAAGGCCAUGGGGCACCCUGGGAAAUCUGCCUUUUCAUCCAUGGAUUCUGCAGCUGCAUUUAAUACAACCUUCGCUUUUUUGUUCUUGGCUGGCAUGCCUUUGGCUCCCAAGAGCUCCGACUUACAUACCAGCAUGCCCAGAUAGUGAGGAGGGAGCUUCCAGCUCCAUUGCUUUGCACCACCGUUUCCACCACCCCAUACCCUACCCAGCCCCCUGGAUAUCUGCUGGGGCUACCAGCCCAAACACCUGCCAGAAGCAGUGGGCCUAUUUUAAAAGUGUGCAUUUUUUGCACAGGGGAGGAAUGCGCAAUUCCAACAGUACUAUCAAAUGAUUCUCGUAUAAAGAAUGUGUAUAUACAUUGGAGUGGGAAGAAGUGAAAGAAGGGGAUGUUCCCAGAUGCAUAAGAACUGUGAUCAGGAAAAAGCUCAAGGUUGCUGCAACCUGCCAAAAAUUUAGAUUUGUGACUUAUGGUAGAAUCUGUGGUCCUCAAGAAUUACAAAGCUGACCAGGCCCUGUGAAAAAGUAGCUCUGACUAUCCCCAUUCAGGUAAGACUGAUUAGAAACACCCAGAGAGCUGGCUUAAAUAUUUACUAUAGAGAUUUUUCUAAGAGCAAACCUCCUUGGAAAACCAAAGUUAGAUCAAGAGGAGGCUUCAAAGCAUUGAAAAGUGUUGGGGGUGGAGGAGCAUCAGCUCAAAAACUCUUCUAUCACCAGGUUUCAUUUUCCUAGCAGCACUGAUCUGAUAUUUUGUUGCUUGUUUACUUAUUUAUCUAUUAUCCAUAUCCUCAUGAGAUUGGAGACCUUGCCAGUCUUGUUCGAAGCCUGAUUGCCAACUCCUGGAAUACAGCUUGAUAUAUGCCAGGCCUCAGUAACUAUUUGUUAAAUGACUAAAUAAAAGGGGAACAGGGGAAACAGCUCAGAAUCCACAUCCUCAAGGCUCUGGGUUCAAUCCCCAGACAGCAAACCCACUCACCCAUCCCCCAAAAAAGGGGUGAUGAUGGGCAUGGGCUUCAGCAGAUGCACCCUCACUUUCUUACCCAAGAAUAUUGGUGGUGUCAUUCUUCUCACUUCUUUCCAUUCACCCCUUUCACAUUACCUCCCCUACAUAGUCACCUGUCACCUCCCUUUUGCUAAAGUUUUUGUGUGUUUUUAAAAAAAUUGUUCUAGCAGUACCUAAAAUCAUUCUCCUAUUAUACAUAAUGUUCUUCCUCACCACUCUGUGCCCUUCUCAUCUGGUACCCUUCUACCUGGCCACCUCCUUCUCCUCCUUCAUUAAACACAGUGCCUUCUCAGGGCAAUCCUCCAUCACUCACACAAGCUGACUUCAAAGUCUUCCCUCACUACCACCCCCACCACCCCCAUCUUCUGUCCCUGCAGUUUGUCACAGAGUGCUGUUAUUUUCUGGUCACAUUUUGGUCUCACUUGAGAGGUGUUUUUAUUUUCAUCCAUGUUCUUGGUAUUGAGUAAGCAACAGCAGAUAUUAAAACCAAUUAUAUUUGUUGAUAGAGGUUUUCGUUUCUUCUUUAAUCCCUGGACGAUAAAUAAUACCACCUUCAUUUUACUAAAAUGGAGAGAACUAAAGCUUAAAGAGGGUUAAAUAAUUACAUACAUUUGUAUAACUAGUAAUUGUUCAUUUAUCAGAGAAGGCAAAGUUUUUAUCCUUUCUGUACAUGGUCAUCUAAAUGAUUUUGCAGUAUUAUAUGAAGUUACUGAUGAGAGGGAGUCUUAGAAACCACAGGACACAGAAGAGCCUUCUGAGUAAAUAAUCAUUAUGUUUACUACCACUGUAAUAAUUAUAUCAACAUCUUAAUUUGUAUUGCCUUUGCUUUCGUCUUUAUCUCUGAGAGCCUCUUUUGUGAAGAUGAGGUUUUCCUGUUUAAAGACCUCUUUGCAGAUAAAAUACUGAUGGAUUAAGCACCACAGAAUGGCUCUAGCACCAAACAACCCCCAACAGGGAAGGAGUCACUGCUUUCCCUGGCCCUAGUCUUUCCAUUUGCAAAAUCUGAGGUUUGAACUUAAUAAUCACUCUUACAUGAUUGAGCACCCACAAUCUGUGAUAGCUCAUGGCCACCUAGUGACACUAACAGAAGGAAGACCAUCUCUCUGUGCUACGGCAGUGAUCACUAACUAUUCAUCCCAAAUCUUUUUCUUUUCCUUUUGGGUUCACAAAUAGUACUUUCUCAGCUUCUCUUGCAGUGAGGUGUUCCUGUCAAUGGAAUCUAAAGAAAUCACAAGGUUCAGCCUUGAAUAGCACUGUGAAGAGCCACCCAUGACUCAUAUAUUUCAAUGUCCAGUUUGGUUUAUCAGCACAUAGAGGAAAAUAUUAGGCUAGGCCCAGAAGGAAAUAUGGGUCUGCUAAGCUUCACUUAUGCCCUUUCUGUGUUGCCUCUUCAAUUCUUCGUUUAUUUAAUCAGCAGGUCUGCCUGCACUCUUAUCAUUUGCUAGUCACUGGUAAAUGCUUAGAGCUAUGUGGAGUCCUCCUCUACAGACAUUCCUCUGCCACUAUCAAGAGGAAGACCACUGUGGUUUUACUCAUUUUCUCUUGAUUGCUAAUUGCCUGAUUGGUAUAUCCACACCUCUGAGUUUCCAAAUGUUGUCUAGAUUUGGGCCUUAAGCCUUUCAAUGGUGUAAAUGACAUCCCAUGUAAAGGGCCUGCUUGGUGCUUGGCAUACAAUAGACCUUCAAUAAACAUCUGUUUCCUUGAAACCUUAGCAGGUAGGAGAAUUGAUGUGGGAGGUCAGGGAUGAUGGCCUAAUACCACUGGUUCUAGUAUAGCUGGCACAGAAAGUUAGAUUUUUGUCCUUUUAAAGGGAUCUGGAGGGCUGGGGUUGUGGCUCAGUGGUAUAGCACUCGUUUAGCAUGCGUGAGGCACUGGGUUCAAUCCCCAGCACCACAUAAAAACUAAAUAAACAAAAUAAAGCUAUUGUAGCCAUCUCAAACUAAAAAAAAUAAAAAUUAAAAAUUAAAUAAAAAAUAAAAAAAUAAAGGGAUCCGGACCAGGUCAUUUGUUCAACUGAUAUCACUGAUAUGCUAAGCUUUGUGAUAUAAAAAUGAGCAACACACAGCCUUAUCCUCAAAGGGAUGAAGAAAAAGGUACAAGACAGACACCAGCAAACAGGCAAUUGCAACAGUGUGAUAAGUGCUAGGAGGGGAAGUACAGGAUGUUUCUUAGCCACAAACAAGGGACAGAAAACUAACCCAGGCUGGUGAGUGGGUGUUGAGGUGGAGGAAGUGUCAAAUAAGACUUCCUGGAGGAAGUGGCAUAUAGCUUGGGACCUGCUUGAUACCCAGGUAAAGAGUGUGAAAUCAGGGUAGAGAAGGGAGCAUAGUAUCUCAGGCAGAGGGAACAAUUGCAAAGGCUCAGAGAAGAUCUGAGACUGCUGAUCCAGCUGGAGAGUUGGGUACAAGGGGACAGAAGGCUAAGAGAUGAGGCUGGCAAAUAGGCAGAAAAGACAGGAUUUAUAACAAAGAACUGCCAACACAGAGAAAUUUGGGUCUUCAGGACACUGGCAUCUCAGGGUUACACUUUGCCAAGUCCUAGGAGAAGGGAUGAAGGGGCAAAGAUACAGGAAGAAGAAAGGAACUAAUAAUUAUUAAGCAUCUGUAAGGCAUUCAGCUGCAUUAGUCAUCUGGGAAAUGCAAAUUAAAACCACAGAACAAACCUAGCCAGAAACAAACAAGCAGGGGUGAGAAUGAAGAUAUGAAUCCCCCCAACACACGCACACACACCCCAUCUUGACCAGAUCUCAGAACUGUUCUUGAGGAACUUACAGUCCACUGAGAGGAAGAGGCAAACAAUUUUUGGGGGGGCGGGGGGUGGUGCUGGGGAUUAAACCCAGAAGGCAAGCACUCUACCAACUGAGCUACAUCCCCAGCCUCCAAACACAUUUUAAGAUAUAGAAUUGUGAUGGAGAAAGGAAUGCUAGGCAUAGAGACCCCCAACUCUGCUGCCUCCUGUUCUUUCUUAACCUUCAUGUGACAAUUUAGCUAUCCAGAAUAUUUAGUUAUCCAGAAAACAAAUUUCACAAACAUCUAGAACAUACAUUUUCAUAGUCUGAACUCUUCAGACAUGUACUUUAUGAACUGAAAAGAAGCAGGGCUUUGGGGCCAAGCAGGCUAUGGUCCCAUCUCUACCACUGAUCUGCUGUGUGACAUUAGGCCAGCAUCCUGGCCUCUCCUGAACAUCUAUGAAACUGGAAUAAUAAGAACUGCUUCCAAAACAGUGACAUUCUUGCUCUGUUUCCUUUACUCAAAUAUUUAUUUUUGGAAAGAGAGAAUGGGAAUUCAUGUGUUCUGACCAGAACAAUUUUCUAAAGUUGGUAAUGCCCAUAAUUAUGCAUUGGUAUAAUCACUCCAAAGGUUAUAAGCAUAUUUUAUAAUUAAGCAAUUAAGAAAGCUCUGCUAUGGCUGUCAUGGUUAUAAAUAUUUUCUGGCAGCAGCAGCAAAGGGGGAAAAAGUAUUUUGACAUUUUAUACCAUCCAAAGAACAAUGGCAAAAAGGUAAGGAAAGGAACUUAGAACCUUUUUGGCCAUUCUCAGUUCCCUAUGGAGCACUGGGGUUUUCAGGCUGGAGAUGGAGGCCAGAAGCUGCAAGGAUUCAUGGAAAAUGGCACUUCUUGCGAACCCUGUGGGGAGAGUCCUUAGAGAACUGAGACGGUCAGGAGUUUCACAGAGUAUGAAACUAACCCCAGAGAGGUGCUACAUCACAAAUCCAGCAUCACAGAGUCCUCUUGUUGGCAGCAGAUACCAUCAUGCUCCUUGCCGGCUGGAUGCUGUGCAAGGCCAAGGCAGGCAAGACUUUUCUUCCGUGCACUUUGGUUGGCCUUUUCCUGUCUGCAGAAUGUGCAAGUUGGCUCUACCCAGUGAAGAGGUGCUGCAGAUGGGUAAAGCACAGAACGCAGCAGUCAGUACAGCAAGUUCCCUCCAUAAAUAACCUCCAGAUUCAAGCCAGUGAGCCCUCUGAAGGCAGUGGUAGCCCCAGGAUAGAGUGCCUGGCACAUAUGAGGCACUCAGGGAAUUACAUUACUCUGGUAAAUAAAUGUGUAAGCCGUGAAAUGCUUACUGUAAAGCUGGCCCUGGAAGAAUAUAACAAAAAACCUAAGUGCUGCUGGCUCUACAGAGGGAGCCCGGGUGGGAAAACAGAAGGGAAGAGGGAAAUGACUUUUUACUGCACACCCUUUUGUUCCUUUUGGGUUUUGUACCAUUGGUUUUCAAAAAAGAAAUAUUAAGCUGGGCUCAGUGGUACACUGCUGUAAUCCUGGCUACUUGGGAGGCUGAGGCAGGAGGAUCAGAAGUCCCAAGCCAGCCUGAGCUACUUAGCAAGACCCUGUAUCAAAAUAAAAAAUAAAAAGGAUGGGUGGGGCUCUAGCUCAGUGGUAGAGCACCCUUGGGUCCAAAAAAAAUUUUUUUAAAUUAGAACAAGAUGAAAGCCUAAUGUAAUUCCCUAUUCAGGGAAGUUUGUACUUGAGUUGGAGGAAGAGAGAGUAGAUCUUUAGAGUUAAACCAACUUGAGUUUGACUCCCAGCUAUUUCUGCUGCUUACUAGCUCUGUGUCUGAAAGCAAGUUACCUACCUUCUCUGAGCCUCAUGCUACCUAACUACAAGGAGGAUAAUGAUCAUCCAUUACAUUAUGAUGAAGGUGAAAUGUGAUAACAUAGUUAUGCUUACAGAGACCCACUGUGUGCCAGGCAUUCUUCAUAAGGUUUUCUGUCUGUGUAUUGACUACCUCAUCCUCAGGACAACCAAACAAGAGAGAUACUGUUAUUUUCCUUUUCUAUAUUUGACAUAUGAAGAAACUAAACUCCAGAGAUAUAUCAAGGAACUUGCUUAGGGUCUCAUAGCCAGGCAGGCUCCCUACCUCUUCUUGAAAUAGUAGCAUCCUCUCUUUUUCAUUAGGGAAUUCUUUAAAAUACAAGCAUUCUCAAGGUCCAAAGAAAUAUCUUUUCUAGUGGUGGGCUUUUGGAUGUGGUGACAGGAUAGUAAGAACAAUGCUGGUUAGGGAGGGGCAGGGAGAGGGCAAGAGAGGGAGAGGGCAAGCAAGAGAGUGAGUGCUAGCAAUGAAGUUAAAUAAGAAUUUUGCAGAGAAUGCAGUCGAAUUGUAGCAUACAUGUAACUUUUCUGCUUUACCCUGUACUUUAACUAUUUUUAGAAUUCUGAAUUAUAUAUUGGAGAGGACACCAGGAAUUCUUCAGGACUUAGGACUUCUGAAAACGCUUAAUAGGGUGGAGCAAACUUUUAGGCAGAGUUGCUUCACCAACGCCCCUCAAAUGGGUCCUGAGUCACUUCUAUGCACAUCAUUGAUUCUACAGUUAUCCAUAGUAGGUCUUUAAGUGUUUGACAUCCUGAUGUUAACUUGUCUAUAAAGACUUAACUGUUUUUUCAUAACCAAAUUAAUUUUUUAAAAAUUCCAGUGCAUUGAAUGUUACUGAAUUUUGACUGUACAUGGAAAAAUAAAACAUCAUUUUCAUUUCCCUAAAAAAGAGUUUCAAGGUUAGAAAUGAGCCUGAGGGGCUGGGUUUGUGGCUCAGUGGUGGAGAGCUUGCUAGCAUGUGUGAGGUACUGGAGUAGAUCCUCAGCACCACAUAAGAAUAAGUAAAUAAAAUAAAGGUAUGUGUCCAUCUAUAACUAAAAAAAAAAAAAAAAUUGAGCCCAAAUUUCUAAAGGGUGAUAACAUUUGUUUUCUUUCCCUGAGCUAAAAAGACUCUUCCUCAUUGUGUCUCAUUUUCCCUCCCCAUACCCAUCACCCAUCACCCCUUCUACCUCAGAACUCUCAGUGUUUUCUGUAGACUUCCCAUCAGGCCACACCCUGGGCCCUAUGUGCACAUAGGGAGCUCCCAGCACUAGGACCCACCCUCUUCUUGGCGAUGCCCCUAAGCUAUGGCCAGAGAAGGGAGAAAGUACAUCAAGUCCUCACUCCUGCCUCCUACUGCAGAUUUUCAUACAAACUUGCCUAUCUCUUUCUGCCUGUGCUCUACCGGAAGCUUUCAGCAGCUCCCCACUGCUCCCAGAAGAAAGCCAGGUCCUUCCCUACAUCCUCACACUUGAUCCUGACCAACCUGCUAGCCUGGCUUAUCUCCACACUUAUCUCCACACUGGUUGCUACAAGAUCCUGACUCUCUUACUCUGGCUUCUGGCUCAAGCUGUUUCCUCUGCCAUUUCCACUAAAACCUGGGAAAUUCUCCCAUCUACCAAGGCCCAGCACCAAGCCCAUCUCCUAGAGAAAUCCUUCCCUACACUCAUCUCACUCAUAUUCUCUCUCUUUCCCUCCUUCCUCCUCUUCUCCCCUCCUUGCUUCUCUUCCCCUCCCCUCCCUCUCUCCCUUCUCCCCUUGCCCCUUCUCCUUUCUCUCCUCCUCCUCUCUCUCUCUCUUUGGAUAUUUCCCACUUUCAAUCACAUUCCCUUGAGGCUCUGCUUAUACAGUCAUGUGCAACAUAAUAAUGUUUCAAUCGGUGACAGGCCACAGAUAAAACGGCAGUCCCAUAAGAUGAUAAUGGAGCUGAACAAAUCCCAUCGCCUAGUGCUACAGAGCUGUCAUAAGAUACAAGUGCAGGGUUGGGGCUGUGGCUCAGUGGCAGAGAGCUUGCCUAGCAUGUGUGAGGCACUGGGUUGGAUCCUCAGCCCCACAUAAAAAUAAACAAAGGCAUUCUGUCCAUUUACAACUACAAAAAAAUUUUUUAAAAAAAAGAUCCAGUGGGCUAGGGAUGUGGCUCAGUGGUACAAUGCUUGCCUCGCACAUGUGAGAUACUAGGUUUGAUCCUCAGCACCACAUAAAAAUAAACAAAGAUAUUUCCCAAUCACUCUGAUAUCUCAUUAAAAAAAAGAUCCAAGCACAACUCAGUAUUCUGAUAUACAUUUAUGCCAAUCACAUAAAUGUAUGAAACACAAAAUUAUGUACAAUGCAUAUAUCUGAUGGUGACAACUGGUUGUGUUGCUGGCUUUUGUGUUUACUAUAUCAUGCUUUUUACUGAUAUUUUAGAGUGAUUUCUACUUUUAAAAAAAUGUCUACUAUAAAGCAGUGUGCUGUGUUUCGCUGGCAGCAGCCUCAUACAUCUCGUGUUUACCACAUCUCUUGAUUGCAUCAUUUUCUCUUCUGCUUGAUUUAAUCUCAUGUUGUUUUGUUCAUCCUAGGAGUUGUUUUGUUCACCCUAGAAGUUGUUUUGUUCAUCCUAGGAGUUGUUUUGGUCCUAGGAGCAACAGGCUAUACCAUAAAUCUAGGUGUGUGGUAGGCUAUACCAUCCAGGUUUGUGUGAGUCCACUCUUGGAUGUUCACACAGGAAUGAAAUCACCUGAUGACUCAUUAUAUCUCAGAACGUCCUCAUCAUUAAGUGACAUAUGACUAUACCUUUGGGUACUUCUUUCAGUCUGCUUUGGAAUAGUCUUCGUGUUCACACCACCCCCAAGUUAGAAACUGUGUCCUGGAAUAUAAGAGCUAUCCAUUCCUUUUCCAUGAGCAUACAUGCUAUUGUGUUGGCCCCAGGGUUUUGGAACUAGAGUAAGUUCUCAGCAAAAGUUUGGCACUUGAAUACAGCAACUUGAUGGACAGAACUGAGUUUAAGUGCCCCUCUGCCUAUUAAUAACUAUGUGACCUUGGACAAGUGAAUUAUCCUCUCUGAACCUCUUAGGUCAAAACUUACAAAUAGAAGUUUAUAAUAACGCCUCCCCCAUGGCAUGUUGACAAAUGAAUGAGAUAGCACACAGAAUGUGUAAUGUAACACUUGCCAGUCAUAUAGUAGUUCCUGGCAAACUUGUGUCUCCAACUUCAUACUACAUACUUUGGGAGUUUUUCCAUCUUUUUCCCUAGACCCCCUCGAGUUGGUAUCUGGGGAUAAGGACACCAGAAUAUUAACUUUGAAAGACAAAAAUGGGCCUAAGGAUAUAGUUCUGUGAUAGAGCACUUGCCUACCAUGCAUGAGAUCCUAGGUUUGAUCCCUAGCACUGCAAAAGAAAAAGACAAAGAUGACUUUCAUGUAACCUAAUAGUAAAGAUAGAAAAGAUUCUAAAGAAAGUCGGUGAGAACCAUACUGGCAACCCCAGGCCCUGGAGGAGGUGGGGGCUACUCCUUUCUCAACUAAAGAGGUCAGAUCCUACCUAGGAAAUCAGGCCCAUUAGUCUCUGCAAGCUGAAGAUUAGCACCUACUAGAGACCCUCACCAAAGCCCUGGCCACACUGUACUGUAAGCCUGAGGCCCUGUGAGCUUGCUUGGAAUAUGGAGAAGAGGCAUUUUCACUGGAACUUGGCCAAUGGGUCUCUAGCAGUGGGGGUGAAGGGUACAGAGGCCAGGAUUCUAGAGGUCAGGGAGCUCCUCCUCUCAUCAAGAUACACUCUGUGCCAAACAGCCUUCUGCCCAUACCUUGGUUUCCAGGAGCAACCAUUCUGGGAAGAGGCAGGGGAAUGGAGUGUGGGGUGAAGAAGGCCGGCAUAUAGCUGGUAUGCAGAAUGAUGUUCUUUUUGGAAGCUGUGAUCUCUGGGCACUUAUUAAAUAGGCAUUUGGAUAUUUUCAGUCUCCUGAGAAACUGGGUAGACCACCAACUUUCCUCAGAGCUGGGCUCCCUAAAAUAAGUUGAUCUACUUACUUCUCCACACCAUCCCCAUCAGCCUGUCCUAAAUCUAGGUCUCUGUGAUGGGGCAUUAUUGUGGGAUUGAAACUGAGGGAGGAGUGGCUGCCAUGGGAAGAUUUGAAUAUCAUGUAGCCACCUUUCCCCUGGAGAUGGGAUCCUGGACUAGGACUUUGGCAAGUGAGUGACUCAUGGAGAUGAUCUAGCUCAAUCUGCCCUUUUACAAAUAAGAAAACUGAUACCUAAAGAGUCUAAGCCAGGAGGAAAACCUAAGUCUGCUCAUCCCCAGGCCAGGGCUUUUAUCCUGUCUUUCUAUGACAGUCCCAUGAAGACAUUUUCCUGUGCUAUGAUGUCACCAUAUGGAUAUAUCUGGAUUUAACUAGGAAAUGUGAACCCUACUUGUCCUAAUGUCAAAUCGGAGCCUCACCUCACCUCUUGCCUGACCUGUAGCUUCUCAUUCCUGUGGCUGGGGGGAGGGCAGGACAGAAGGACUUGCGUAAGUGGUAUCCAGACUCAUACUUGGCUAGAUACUUUGGGUGGAGUUGGGGAAGGUCCAAGGUGUGAGGGCUCUGGGUUGAUCGGCCUGUUUUUUGAGUGCUGGCCAAGUAGGCAGGCAUUUGUUUCUUCCUCUCCUUCAGGAUCUUUGUGCCUCUUUGUGUGCAAUGAGCCACCCCUGUGAGGUAGCAUCUGGCACCUAUCCAGAAAAAGGAGCAAACUGUGUGAAAAACUAAUGAUAACUCACAUGGGUUCCAAAAAAUCAGAAGAAAGAAGGCUGGCACAGGUAUAACCAACAAAAAGGCUAAAGGAGGGGAUAUAGAAAGGAUUAGUGAAACUCACAAGGGGAGACUCCCUCACUGUCAUGAGAUCCCUAACUGAACACUUACUCUGUACCAAGUACAGUUCUAAGUACUAGAGAAAUCAGACCAAGAAUGGUGCAAAAACCUCAAAAUACCAAAAUCCACAGAUGGUCAAGCCCAUGUAUAAAAUAACAUAGUAUUUGCAUAUAAUCUAUGCACACACCUUCUUGUGCACUUUAAAUCAGCUCUAGAUUUUUUAUAAUACCUAAUACAAUAUAAAUUAUGUAUAUAAUUAUUAUACUGUAUUGUUUAGGAAAUAAUGACAAGAAGAAAGUCUUUACAUGUUCAGUACUUUUUUUUUUCCUGCCUGCAGCUCCCAUCCUAAACUGGAGGCUAAUGCUGAGCCUGGUCGAAUUAUGUACUUGUCCAUCUGUCCCUAUCAGCUUGUCUGACUGUAUUUGAGACUGUAAUAAUUUUAAAAGAUUCAGCAUAUCGGCCAUUUGCCACCCCUGCACUGGAUAAUUUUAUUCAUUCUCUUUCUCUUCCCCAAUUUCUGUCUCUUUUCCUUUUUCCUUCUCUCCCUCCUUUCUUUUCUUGAGUAAGAUUUAUUGUAUCAUAUUUUACACACAAUAAAAUCCACUCCCUUUCUUGUAUGUUUCUGAGUUUGACAAACGCAUACACUCAUAUGGCUACCACAGUCAAGACACAGAACAUUUCUAUCACUCCAAAGAAUCCCCACCGCACUUUCCUUUUGUAGUCUUGCCCUCCCUGCACCAGGCCUGGUAACCACAUAUGUGUGCUCUGUCCCUAGAGUUGUGCCUUUUCCAGGUUGUCCCAUAUGCAAUUAAGAAAAAAAUUUUUCCAAACAUAAUUGGUUGAAUUUAUGGAUGUAGAGUCUAUGAAUAUGGAAGGUUGACUGUACUAGAAACAGCCAAGUUGGCCUCUAGCAGAAUGGUAAGGGAGAGGAAGCAAGAGCUAUAUCAAAGGGAUGGGGCUGUACUGGCCUCAGAAGACCUCUGGAUCCAUAAUCCAGAGACUCCAUGAGGUUGCUGUCAAGACCUGGGACAUUCUGGUAGCUCUGAGAACCUCCUGCUGCCAGACACACAGACUUCCCAGUGUGGGCAGCAGAGCUGUCACUGCUGUGCAGGCUUCACAAAGGGACUUUUUCACCCCAACAGAAUGGCACUAACACCCCAAACUCCCAUUUCUUUCCCUGGCUAGGGUCAACCUUCUAGAUAGGAGAAAACUCACAAAGAUGUUGCCCCAAAUGUCUUCAAUAAAGAUUUAUUUGGGCAGCACAAGAACUGCCUCAAGAGUCAGAGGAAGGAAUAUCCAUUCACGCAACAAAUAUUUACUGAGAAUCUACUAGGUAGCAAGCAUAAAGGUCCUAUGUACAUGAUAUUUCUUCCUCCCCUUAGCCUUACAUACAUGUUAUUAGACCACUAAAGAGAUAUGGGAUCAGAAAAAAAAAUCGAUCGGAAAUGUUAAGUUACUGCCAGGUGUGGUGGCGCACACCUGUAAUCCCAGCAGCUUGGGAGGCUAAGGCAGGCAGAUUGCAUGUUCACAGCCAGCCUCAGCAACUAAGCCAGGUCUUAGGUAACUUAGCGAGACCCUGUCUCAAAAUAAAAACUAAAAAGGGCUGGAGAUGUGGCUCAGUGAUUGAGCACCCUGGGUUUAAUCCCUGGUAUCAAAAAAUAAAACAAAAAAAGAAAUGUUAAGUUACUGACCUGGGGUCACACCUUUAAGUAAAUAGUGGGAAUGGGGAGGGUUGGGGCAGAGAGAGAGGGAGGAGGGCUCCAAACUCAGCUCCAUCAGCCAUGGGAAGCCUCUCUGCUCACACUGCACAUUGCAACACAGCAGAGGGUUCCAGAAUUCCUAUCCACUGCCUUUGUAAUCAGCAGUAGCUACUUUGGGUCUGAGUCUCCUUGUUUAUAAAAAUAAAGUGCUUGAGAAAUAUGUUUCCCAAGUGUCCUCCCAGCACUGGAUUCUUUGUCACAGUGUGUCCUGCUCUUGUCUUUGUAAAGGCUCUCCUGGCCCAAUUCUCCCUGGUCACCAGCACAGAGCUCCACUGGGGAUGCCAGUCUUGCCUGGCCUCGCCCCCUGGAGGACAUAAGAGGUACUGCAGGAGCCCGGGGCUCUGGGGAGAGGCCCUGUAACUAUCAGACCAUGUCAACAUAAUCGCAUGUUAAAGCCAACUUUAAUUACCGCUUUCUCUUUUUUGAAAACAUGGAUCUAGAAAACAUUCUCACAGCCCUUCCCACGCUCACCAGGGCAUUGCUGCUGGAACACUUAAUGACGGGGAGCAUUUGUAGCCUGAAGACCUACUGGUUCUAUGAGUCAUAUUUUAAAAUUGGAUUCUCUCAUUUACUUCCUACACCUCAGUUUCUUUUAGGUCCUGUAAAGUCAUUUAUUGAUCUAAUGUUGACUUUGCAGGGCUGCCGAACCAUGAUCACAAAACAGUGUGUUUUUCUCUUAAGUUAAUUAUUUUUGUUAAAAUUACCAAUUUUUGGUUAGGUAAUACAUCCACGUGAUACAACAUCCAAAAGCCACUGAAGGGUUUUCAGUAAUUAUCAGAUGGCCCAACAAUUCCACUCCUGGGUAGAUACACAAAAGAAUUGAAAAGAGGUGUUCAAAUAAAAACAAGUAUACGAUGUUCAGAGCAGCACUAUUCACAAUAGCCAAAAGGUAGAAACAACCCAGAUGUCAUCAUCUGAUUACUAGAUAUACAAUAUGGGGUUCCUCCACACAAUGGAAUAUUAUUCAGUCAUGAAAAGGAGUAAAGUUCCAACACAUUCUACUAUAUGGAUGGACCUUGUAAACAUUAUACUAACUGAAAGAAGCCAGACAUAAAAGGCUACAUAUUAUAUCAUUCCAUUUAUGUGAAAUAUCCAGAAGAGGCAAAUCCAGAAAGAGAAAGCAGGUUAGUGGUUGCCAGGGCUAGGGGGUAAGAGGGACUAAUAAGCAUGGGCUUUCCUUUUAGGUGAUGAAAAGAUCCUAAAAUUAGAUAAUGGUGGUGGUUGCCCCUGCAGGCUUCUGUUCUCCCAAUUUUCCAGGUACAAAGUAGGCCCCAGUUGCUCAUGGGUUCACCCAUGACCAUAAACUCUGGGUUCAUGUCUAGAGCUCACCUAAGGACUCACUCAUGGUGCCCUACUUAAAGCAUGGCUCUCUGUAGGGCAGCAGGCCUUGAACCAUGCAGCCUCCCUCCUCUUGAAGCCCACCAUAUCCAGGAGGGAUUCUCUUGGAGUACCCCUCACUGGUUCUGUGUGUAUGUGGGAGCACCCUCUCCAUUCCUUGAGAGAGGAGGAAGAGGCCUCUUCUCCAUGACCAACUCACUAUCUCAAUGACUCUCUGACUUCUGGUUUUCUGCUUAUCAUGUCUUAAUGGGGCGGGGAGGGGCAGGGUCUAAGGAGCUUUACACUGUCUGUUAGUAAAUCCUUCCUAGAUAGGUCUAGCCCCUCUCUUUAAAUGUGAGAGUAUUUAUCAUCCACAGGCUUCAGAUAAAAUUCUGAGACAACUGAUAAGCAUCCAUUCAGCACCCUGAGUGCUUGCCCAGCAAGCGUGAGGCCUAGAGUUCAAUCCCCAGAUUUAUGUACUUACAUAUGCAUAUGGAUCCAUAAAUUUGGGGAUUGAACUCUAGGCCUCACGCUUGCUGGGCAAGCACUCUUACCACUGAACUACACCUCCAGUCCUUUUUUAAUUGCAAUUUUUUAUUCUAUUGGAGACAGGGUCUUGCUAACUUGGCCAGGCUGGGCUUGAACUUGUGAUCCUCCUGCUUGGCUUCCCUGCUAACUGGGAUUACAGGCCUGCGCCACAGUGUCUAGCAAAAUGAGAUUGUUUUGUAAAGGCAGUUUUCUGACAGGUUUCUCUUACUUAAUAUUCUAUCGUGAGUAUUUUCCCAUGUUGUUAAAUGUUCUUGAAAAAGAUGGGGUAUUUGUUUGUUUGUUUUUGUGGUGUUGGGGAUCAAAUUCAGGGCCCCAGGAAUCCCAGGAAGUCACUCUACCACUGAGCUAUAUCCCCAGCCCAAAAUGUGUGGUUUUUUAAAAUGGCUAUUUAAGAUUUCAUUGUAUUAAUAUGCUAUAAUCAAUUUGAUUAUUUGUUUUGUUAUUAAUUUAUUUCCAAUUUUUAGAUGACAUUGUUGUAGAUGUCUUUAAUUAUUAAACUAUUAGGGAUUUCUGAUUGUUUUCUUAGGUUAAUUUCCUAGAACUGGAAGAGUGUGAACUCUUUUAAGUCACUUAAUACACUAUAAUGGUUUUGUAGGAAAGCAGCCCGUAAGGGUGACUUCACCAGCCGAGCUUCAGAAUGUACACCUCCAUGCCUCCUCUCCAGUACUGAGUAGGUUAUUUCAUCUAAAAUGUUUUAAAUGUUUGUCAAUUUUAUAUGAAACAUGAUGUAUCAUUGUUUUAAAAUUUUAUGACUUCUUGGAGAAGCAUUAAAAUUUUUGGCAUCAUGUUACAUGAUUACAGAAAGCUGCCCUUCUACCCUGCAAGAUGCCGGGACACUGGGUCCAUCUGGUUGUUGAAGAAUUUGUGCAAGACUUAGGUAAACAAAGUCUUACUGGUGUGACAGUUGCCUGCUGUGGGAGAGAGCAUAAUGGCCUCCCAGAGAUGUUCACAUCUUAUUUCUUGAACCUGUGUAUGUUAGGUUACAGGUGUUAUGGUUUGGAUCUUAAGUGGUCCCCAAUUCAGCAGUGGUUAGAGGCGGACAUGUUGGGAGGUGAUUGGAUCAUGAGGGCUCUGACUUCAUAAAUGGAUUCAUUUAUUUAACAGGCUAAUGGGAGAAAUGAGACUUAGUUGGAAGAAGUAGAUUAUGGGGAAUGUGUGCUCUGAGAGGGUAUAUCUUAUCCCAGCCCCUUCCUCUCACUCUGUUUUCUGGCCAAAAGGUGAGAUUUUUUCCACCUUGCACUUCCUGCCAUAAUGUUCUACCUCACCACAAACCCAGAAACAACAGAGCUGAGUGACAAAGGACUGAAACCAGUUAUUUUCAAUUUUUAAAUCACAUCCAUUUUCCAAUUUUUAAAUUUCCAAAUUUUUUAAUUUGCCAAAACAUUUUUUCCCUAAUUUAAUUUGACUUUACUAGGUAUUUUGUCACAGUGACAGAGAGCUGACUAACAUUCGUGUCAAAGGGGAAUUGGGAUUGCAGGUAGAAUUAAGUUCAUUUAUCAGAUAACCUGAAAAAUUGGGACACUGUUUUGGAUGUUCUGGGUGGAACUGAUGUAAUCACAAAGGUACUUAAAGGUGGAAGAUGAAGCCCGGUGUAGUGGUACAUGCCUAUAAUUCCAGCAACUCAGGAGACUGAGGCAUGAGAAUUGCAAGUUUGAAGCCAGCCUGGGCAGCUUAGCAAGACCUGUCUCAAAAAUUAAAAAAUAGGUUAAGAAUGAAACUUAGUGUAGAGUACCCCAAAGUUCAAUCCCCAGUACUCGGGGGCGGGGGAGGAAAUGGAAGGAGGCAGAUGAAUAGAGUUAGAGAAUAUGCGACCAUAGAAGAAUGGUCAGGGAGGUGCCUCAUUGCUGGCUUUGAGGAUGGAAAGAGCCAUGAGUCAAGCCAUGCAGUCAGCCUCUAGAGCCAGAAAUGACAAGGAAACUGUCUCCUAGAGCUUCCUUAAAGGAACGCAGCCCUGCCAACAUCUUGGUUUUAGUCUGAUAAGACCAGUGUUAUACUUUGUGUGUGUGUGUGUGUGUGUGUUUACUGGGUAUCAAAUCCAGGGCCUUGUGCAUGGUAGGCAAAUGCUCUCCUCCUAUGCUACAUCCCCAGAACUCAGACUUUUGACCUAUGAAACCGAAAAAUAAUAAAUUUGUGUUGCUUCAAGUUUAUGACAGUUUUGUUACAGCAGCAACAGGAAACAAAUACACAUAUAGAGCAUGCCAAACCUGCCUCUGCAGAGUGCUGGAGUUCCCUGCUUUACAAGAAAAUAAGUUUCCCAUUGCUUUCCAUGCUUGUAUACUUGCCAGUAUCAAGCUGUGUGAACCAGAGGGAUAAUUUGAGGCCAGUUGGCCCUUCCUGCAAAGAGGGAUAAGGGGCCUUUGGUGGAGUGUAGAUAGAUCUGAGAACUUCUGCCCACAUAUCCAAUGCCCACACACCAGCCUUUAGAAAUGUUUUUGUUUUCAUGCUGUUUUAUGCUAGAGGAAAUGCACAUUUCUGAUUCACUUAAUGGUGCCUGAUUUUUUUACAGUCAAAGACAAAGGAUUGCCGUGGCUACUUUGAAGUAAGCCAGCAAAGUUAUAGUGGAGGGAAUAUAUAUGGAGGGUUACAGAGGGAUGUAGUAGAAUUCAGAAAAGUAUGGAAAAGGGGAGCUGAUUUCUCCGCUUAACUUUGUCCAUAACUCAGUGUGAGUCUUGUCCAAGUGACAUUCUCCCUAGAACUCAGCUUACUUAUCUAGAGAAGAAGGGCUUAGAUAUAGGCACUUGCAAAUGGUCUUUGAUUAUUUUAUUGGUGUGUUGGUUGUUCUUUUCUUUUAGUCCUAAGCCCAACCUUUUAUAUUUUGCUUUUUGAUAGGAGGGCUCUGGUUACCUUCAGUGAAUGGGAGGUCCUGAUAGGGAAUAGAAAGUAGGAGAAGGGAAGAGGGGAGAAUAGAUUUUCUUUCUGCUACCUAUACCUUUCAAAGUCCCAUCAAUUGCAGAGGACAGCCUAGGAUUUUUUUAGGCACUCAACACCAAGCCCCCCUGCACCUCCUCAGAGGCCAGGAUACAAACACAAGGCUCCUAGGAACCACCUCUGCACACCUAGGUUCUUGUAACCCCACCUGUAGCACUUUGUUCCAGCACAAGGAUGAUAGCAACUCCCAGCAGCCACUACUCUGGGUUACCUCUGUGUUCUCUUUGUCCUCUCAGUCCUCCAACAUCUAUGUAACCACUUCUCUGCAUUAAUUUCGCUUGUUCAUAUUCCCAGGUACGACUUCCACUUUUCUAGUUGGACCUUGACUGAUACAACAGGCUAUUUUUUCUUCAUGAUUUGUAAAAACUCAUUUUUUUCUGAGUUCAUUCCAUACUAGUCAAUUAUGAUGUAUGUUGCAGUGAUUUUUUUAUUACUUUGCUUUUGGCCUUUGUUUAUAAUGUUUGUUCUUGUUCAGACAAUCUUUAAGUUUUACAUACUCAAAUUUAUCAAUAUUUGCCUUAUGUUUUCUGGAUUUCAUUGCAUAUACAGACCUUCAUCCCAAGAUUAAAAAAAUAGUCAGUUAUAUUUUCUUCCCAUAAUUUCAUGGUUUUAUGUUUGACAUUCAUCUGGAAGUUAUUUUGGAGUAAGAAGUGAGGUGGCCAUAUAAUUUAAAUGGGUUUCCCAAAUGAAAAAUGGUAUUUAGCCAGUUCUGUCAAUAUCAUGCGCUGGAUAGCUCUUCCUUCCUCUUUUGACAUGAAAUGCCAAUUUAUUAAGUAUUACAUUCACACAUAUACUGGUUCUAUUUCUGGAUUUUUCCCCACUGGCUUAUCUAUUUUUCAGUCAAAAAUAUUUUAUUAGGCUAAAGCUAUCAUUCAGUUUUAUGGACUUGUCCACAAAAAUAUCUCUAUGUUUGAAGCAAGUAAAUUUUAGAAGUCAAAAUACAGUAAAGGAAAGGUGGAAUUUUUUUCUGUCUGAGAAAUCAGAUAUUGAUUCAAGAGGAAAUAUCAAUACUGAUUUUUUAAAGUUAAGGCUUCCUGAAAAUUUUUCAUUUUGAUAAAAAAUUUUUUAAUGUCUGAUUUCAAGGAUAAGUCAUAUUCUGUUGAAUUUUGCUUGAAUUAAAACAUCAGUUUGAACUAACUUUGUUUUCAACUCUUCUUUCUUUCUUUUUUAAUGUUUUUGGGGAUACUGGGGAUUGAACCCAGGGGCACUCCACCACUGAUCUACAUCCCCAACUACUUUCAUGUUUUUAUUUUGAGACAGGGUCUCAGUAAGUGUUUGAGUCUGGCCUUCAACUUGCAGUCUUUCUGCCUCUGCCUCCUGAGUUUCUGGGCUUAUAGGUCUAUGCUGCCGCACCCACCUGGGUAUUCCUUUUUUAAUAGCAUCCUGUUCUUGUUUCAUGGAUACAUUAUUUUCUGUUUUCUUCCUGGGAAUUAACUAUAGGAUAAUUCUUUGUUCUUUCCUCUUUGUGUCUCUGUUUUCUCUGAGUUCAUUUGUUUUGGUUACUAUCUUUGAGAGACUUUUGAGAUUCUAUCAGUGAGAGACUUUUCUCGGUCACAUUAUUUUGGGUUAUUUGUUUUUAAUUAAAAGUGAUACAUCAAAAAACGAUAGAAAGUGUGUGUGUGUGUGUGUGUGUGUGUGUGUGUGUAAGAGAAGAAGAAAGAGGGAGGAAGGGUGAGAGAAAGGGAAAAAGUGAAUAAAUGAACGAAUGCAGGCAAGGCUAUUGAUUGAAAGAUUUUAAAGCUGGAUAACUAGGUAGAAAUCCCACUGUUUAUUUAGGUGACCUUCAAGCAUUAUUUUCUCUAGACUUUUCCUUUGGGCAAGUUUCUUUUAAGAAGACAUAUCUAGUCUCCCACAUAGUGGGUUUAUAUCUGGUUACCUGCAUCUUAGGAGUUAAGCUAGGAAAGGAAGCAGGAACUUGGGAGCGGCACUUGCACACAGGAAUACUACAAAAUGGGAAGAUUGGCAGGUGUGUGUGUGUGUGUGUGUGUGUUGAUAUUAGAUAUUACAAAAAUGCACUAAAAUACUACCAAGCAGAAAAUCUAUGGCAGAGUCAGUAAGUUUUUUAAGUAAGAGCCUCUGGAUACAUGAGGUACCAUUGUAUUUAUAACUACUACUAUGGGUGUGUGUUUGAAGAACAGACACAGUAUGUGCUCUUUGGUACAUCCUUCUCUGCUCAGCCAUCUUUGGUUACUGUGUGCAACCACUUUAAAUGCUGAAAGAGUGUACUGUAUAGAACUCAGCUGGAAGAAGUGGUGGUGGGGUUUGGAGGUGGAGGAUGGAGUCCUUUGGGAAACAAUUCUAUUUUUAGGAAUCCUGGUCUGUUUCUCUACAACCUAAAGGAUUAUGUGCUGAUGAGGAUAAUUUCAUGACCAAUUUGGCUUCUAUAAAGAUCUUCAUUGUUCCUUUCUCAUUGAGGAUCAUAAGUAUAGAAACAUUUUGCCUUGGAAUGUUUUUAUUCUUUAAGAAGAUUCUAUUUUAAAUAUGAAAUGUACUUGCUUUAGAUCUGUGCUUCUGAAUUUCCAAAGGAAGUUCUUUUUAUAAAUUAGCUGAAUUCUCUGUGGGCUUGUGUUUAUCAAGUCCUGUUUGCAAAGUAUCUUGCAGUGGCAUAAACAUCACUUUAAAGCAGGAAGUUAGCUUUGAAUCAUUAGUCUAAAGUCAAGAGCUUCAGAAAAUGAAAAUGCUCCAGCUGGAAGAAAAUUUGACAUUAAGUCACAACAGGAAGUUAGGUGACUCUGGCUUUGCCUCUCCACUCAGAGCUUUUGGGCAUGUACAUUCAUUUGUGCCUCUUAAAUGCCUACUUUGGGCAUGGCCUCAUGUAACACUCGCGUAUGCCAAUCAAAUGAACUCCUCAGUCAAAGUGCAAAGACUCUGUUAAUAUAUAAACUUCCAUAUGCAAAGAAAGGAAAGAGGCUUUAUUUUCACAGCUAUAAAACUGUGUGAAUAAACCACCAUUCAUUUACUCAUUCUGCUGGGGGGAGACCAUACUUGGGUAGUUUCUAUUUUUUUUUUCUAUUCCAAACAAUGUUGCAACGAAUAAUCUUGUACACAUGCAAGAAUUUCACUAAUACAGCUGUUCUAGAAGUAUGAACCAGAGGCCCAGGGUCCCUGGAUCCCUUUCAGGUCGUCCAUGAAGUUUCACCAUUUUCUCUCUCCUUCUGUCAAGUAUAUGCUGUGGUGUUUUCCAGAGGCUGACUGACACACCCACAAUGAUCUGAAAAAAGGUAUUAAAAUACUCCUACCUCUUCUAAUUAUAUGUGUGUUAAACUGGAUUUUCCUUACCUACUUCAACCAAAACAAUGUUCACAACAUUUGAAAGCGAAUAAGAGAUUCCAAUUGUCUUCUCCUAAGCCAGACAUUAAAGAGAUUUGAAAAAUGCACAAAGCCACUUAUCUCCCUAAAUUUAGAAAUUGAAUCAUUUUUCAAAAAAUGAGUUUAUUUUAAAAUGGAUUAAUAUACAAAUGUUUAAAAAUUUCCAGCUUUAAUUUCUAAUAUAUUAAAUAUUGAUAAAUAUAAUAAACAAAAUUUUAGGAGGCUGUUGGUUUGGACUGAGCUCCUGUACUAUGCCCAAGAAGAACCAAAGGAAAAUGGAGUCACUCAUGCUAAAAUUUAUAUCACCAAGCCAAAACUAAGGCGUUUGUCUGACCUUCUGAGAAAGAAGUGCCAAAUCCCCAAACAGACCAAUUUUAGGCAGCAUUUUAAGUGCCAAAUCCCCAAACAGACCAAUUUUAGGCAGCAGUUUAAGGAAGUCCCCUCUGUUUUAACUUUCACCAGGAAGGUAACUUUGAAUGGACCAAUCCAAUUUUUGUUUUUCUUUUCUGCUUUCUUCAGCCCUUUUCUGUAUAUAAAGCCAAUCUUCUCUAUUCAGCUCAUCAGUGCAAUGAAAAUCAAAAGGAGAUCAGUAUAGUAGAAGGAAGGGACCAAGGGGAGGGAAGAGGGGAGGGAAAAGGGAAAUACUGGAAUGGUAUUAUUCUGUUGUUAUAUUGUGUGCAUGUAUGAAUAUGUAACAAUGAAUCCCACCAUUAUGUACAACUAUAGUGUAUGAAUAAAAAUAUGGAAAAAAGACAAAACCAAUAAAAAUAAAUAAAUGUUGGAGUGAUGAAUCAGAUAAAAAUCAAUUAAGAUCUUUAAAUUAAAUUUGUUGUAAUUUUGACAACAAAAUUUGACUAAUAUAACCCAUGUAAACAUAAAUUGUUUGUGAUCUUUGAUAAUUUUUCAGAGUAGAAAAGAGUCCUGAAAUCAAAAUAUUUGAGAAGCAUGCCCUAGGGUAUAGACCCAGGGGUGGAAUUGCUAAGCUAUGGGGUGGGUGCACGGUCAGCUUUAGGUGAUUAAACCACUGAUGGUUAAGUUCAGUUUGAUAUCAUUUACAUAGAGCUACCUACAAUACACAACUAACCUAAGUACUUGUCACUUAAUUGUUGAAAGGAAUUAAAGAGAAUUGAACAGAAUCAAAACCCAACUGUUUUAUAGUCCUAUAAAACAACCCGGCAGAUAAGGGCCGUUGGCAUCUUUAAACACAGCCCAGCCAAACCCUCAGUUUUCCCAUGGCUGAGAGGAGGAGGGCACAGUGCCAGGGUCCAUUCUGGUAGCUGGGUUGUUUCCCUUUCAACUUUUUGCCCUGUGGGUCUAUGCUGGUUUCUCACUCACUGCAUGUGGUAAACAACUGGCUUUGAGUCAAGUCAAGAGUGUGAGUCUCUGAGGAGAGACUGCCCCCCCCCCACUCAGCCUGAGAAUGAAUGAGCAUAAGUGGAGGAAGGGAAAAGAGGUGGGAGGGAGGGGAGCUCCCUCUAUGGCUCCCCAGGAAGGAAAAAAAACCUAUACUAAUGAUGUGAAAUGAGCUGUGUGACUUGUGACACAUAAGUCAGGAUCUUGUCUUUGCAGAAUAGGCCCCUGCUCUGAAAAUAGCUGAGAACAGUCAAACCCAGAGAGGUGCCUCUGGGCAUUCUAGGGGUACAGCCUGACCUUGCACCUGGAAUAAGAAGGGAAAGGAAAGGGCAGGAAGAAAGGAGGAAAAUCUAGCACUGUGUUAGACUAUGUAGUUAGUUCUCAUGACAAAUCUGUAGCAUAAAUAUUAUUCCCAUUUUACAGAAGGGUAAAUUGAGGCCCAGAAGGAUUAGGCAGCAUAAUUCAAGGGACUGACCUUUGGAGUCAGUUCUAAGUUCUAAUAUCACAGAUAUCAUCCCCUAUUACAGACACUAUCCCCUAAUGUCUGCAUAACUGUGGGUAACCACGUGUCCUAAUUGGAUAUAUUAGUUUCCACCUUACAGGAAUUAAAUCCAGUCAAAGAAAAUGAAGCAUGGAACGCACAACUCUGACACACAGGAAGCGGAUAUUCACUGAACAUGACUCCUCUUUCUCCUUGCCUAAAAUUAAGCAUCCGGGCAGGGUGACCAGGCCAAACCCCAAGUCAUCUGGUGAUCAUACAGCUCAACCUUGUCCUCCUAGGGAUGAAGUGAGUAGGAUUCUAGUGCCUCCUACUGUCAUUCCGAGCCUGCUCAGGAAUAUGCACCUGGAAUCAAUUCUCCAGCAUCUGAGGAGACAACAAAGGGUCCCCCCUGCUCCUAGCAGGCUCGCCCCUCUCACACGCCUCACUCCCAACACAACCUCCCUCACUACACUCAGGGAUGCCUCCCCAUGCCCUCACUUUUAGGAAACCCACCUUUAGCAUCCAAGAAGGGCCAGUUAGUUCCAUCUCAUGGCACUCACAAAGCCCUGAUUCAGACCUCAGGCCCCGGACUGGUCACUAUUAACAGAAGGGGCUCAGUAUUGUUCCAUUUUCCUCUCAGGCAAUAUGUUCAUGGCCUGCCCUGGGGCACCUUCCAUUAUACUGUCACAUGCAAAUGUAUGUCCUGGACCCCCUGCUCUGCAUCUCCAAGAGUUGGGUCUACUUCAUCCAGGAAUUCCCUCUUCACUCCUUGGGAAGGAAGGUCCCAGCUCUUUUUAUCCCCUCCUCCAUUAGAUAGACGUUGCCACUUGUGGACAGCUCAGCAGGGGACCAACUGGGUCAGGUGGGAAAGGAGGAGAAAAUCAUUUUGCCUCUACAUUCCUUGUCUCCUUUGCAAAUAACAAGGUACUACUUUGAAUGGAUCUGAUUCCUGGGUUAAUUUUUCAAUUGGUUAAAACUCUGGGAAGAGUAGUGUGAUUUCCACUCAGUGGACUGGAAGCCUUUUGAAAACAGAAAUUGUUUCUUAUUCUCAGUAAAUAGAAAAAGUGUACACUAUUUAACAUGUGGUAUAAACAAGGCAGUGACUGUGAGAAACCCACAGAGCAACCAGCUAAAAGGGAAACACCCCACCCUACCAGAAGGGGCUCAGUAUUGCUCCCUUUUCCUCUCAGGCCCUGGAGAACUAUGGGUCUAGCUGGGCUGCAUUGAGGGGCUGAUGCCUCUUAUCUGCAAGGCUGCUUAGCACCUGCCCAUUCAACCAGAUUUGAUUCAAUUCAAUUAGACUUAAUUUCUUUCAACAACCAAGUUUUCAGAGGCUAGGCUGAGCAACUGUGUUCAAACUGCUAAAGCCCAGCUACCCAGAAAACAACCUUGGAGUGACAUGAUUCCAGAAAGAGCGCCUAAUGAAUAGGUAUUUUAACUGGGACAAGAGAUGGGAGGAGACAGAACUGCAGCCAAGUUUUGUUAUAAUUAAGGGGUUGAGUUUCUGCCUCUCAUGCCUAGACCUCAGAGCUUUACCAGGGAGAGGGAGAAUUCACAUCUCACCCCAAACAGGCCAGGCCACCUAGAGCUGCUCCUCCAAGGUGCUCAGACACAGGUGUACUUAUGCUGCUGCGGAGCUGAAACAGGAAAACUAAGGGGGGAAAGCAAAUCAAGGCAGGAAAAGAAAACAGUUAAAGCUGUUCCCUUAAGCCUUCUCUGUACUGAAAAUUUCCAAUUUUGAUAUUUUAGUUACUUUUUAAAACAUACUCAUCUAUUUUCAGAUCAUAAGACAGUAGGGAAGAGAAAAAGGUAUCAAGGAGUGCUGGUAAAAAUAAAACGUUAUGUAAAUUGCAGGAGAAACUCUACAUGUCAACUGGACCUUAUAAAGAGAGAGACAACCAGAUAAAGAGAAAAGCCCCAGCAGAAUUGAAGAAUGUUUACAUUCUUGCAACCACAAAUGAGAAGUGAGCUCAAAACCCAGUGGGAGUUUAACAAAAUACUUAAGUUCAAAGUGAGGCCGCUCUGUGCAUAUUCCCCUCCUGGUUGCCCUGGCAAUGAAACAUCUGCCUUAUAGUAAUGAAAUAUUACUGAGAAAAACCCACAAGCAAAAGAGUUUCUGGACAUAUAAGCUUGUUAUUCCUCCCACUGACAUUGGUCUUAUGAGUGUAGGAAUCAAAUUAAGUAGCUGCCUCUGCCUGUGAUCAUCCCUGUGUCACUCCCUCACACCACUGCCUGGCAGGACACCCCAGGAACCCAGGACUAGGAAUCCCCAGAGCUUAACCUCCUGGAGGCUGCCUGAGGGGUUUGGCAUUGGGGUCUUGCACUCAGGAGGGGUUAGUGAGAGUAGAACUGGAGUCCACUUGUUAGCUAGCUAAUUAAUUCUUGAGAACAUCAUGGAGAUGUCAAAAAUGAAUAAGAUGAGAUUCUUGUUCUCCAUGUGAGAAGAAAGUAGAGAGACAUACAUACAAGUAGUUGUAUAGGACUAAGAUGCCCAGUGGUUUGGGAGGCUCAGGCAGGAGGAUCACAAGUUCAAAGCCAGCCUCAGCAACUUAUUGAGACCCUAAGCAACUUAGUGAGACCCUGUCUCAAAAUAGAACAUAAAAAGGGCUGGGGAUGGGCUGGAGUUGUGGCUCAGUAGGAGAGCACUCACCUAUCACGUGCGGGGUGCUGGGUUUGAUCCUCAGCACCACAUAAAAAUAAAUAAAUAAAAUAAAGAUAUUGUGUCCAAUUACAACUAAGAAAAAUAUUUUUUAAAAAAGGCUGGGGAUGUGGCUCAGUGGUUAAGCGCCCCUGGGUUCAAUCUCUAGUACCCUCCCCCACCAAAAAAGAAGAAUGAAUUGAGGAAACAAAGUACUGUGGGAAAAGGAAUUCUUUUCCUCUUCAUUAUUCUUUUCUUAUUUAGGUCAUUUUUUUAAUAGAAAGAAACUUGUAAAAAUAAUGAAAAGGAAAAAUUUAAGUUUACUCCAAAUCAUACCAGAUAUAGAAAACCAUCAUUAACAUUGACAUUUAUGGUAUGACUUUUCAGAUUUACUUCUUAAUGAAAAUAUGUGCAUGUGUUCAAAGCAUAUGUAAACCCUUUCUGUGUGUAGAUAUAUUUUUUCUGUAACAGAAUUCUGCUAUAUACUGGAUUUUAUUUUUUGACAUCUAACAAUACACCAUAAGCAUUUUUUCAGCUGACACAAAUAUUAGCAUCAAGAUAUUUAAUAUCUGCAUUGAAUCUGUUAUUUAACCUAAAAUAAUUUAUCCAAGCAAGGAUGAGAAAUGGGAGGGUGGUGUCCUCACUUGACAUGAGGGGAUUCCACAGGCAACCCUCUGCAGUUUGCAGAGCCAGUGCUGUGUGGAUCCUGCUUGGGAAAUCCAUAGGGCAGAUGCUGGCUGGCUGGCAGCCGAUGGCUGAUCUGGGAUUAGCCAGAGCCCAGAUGCAUUUCCAUGAUUCUCACCUCAGAGGAACAAGUUGCUUGGUGAUUACAUCAACAUAAAGGUUUCAGUUGUGUUACAUAACGGGAGCUCAGACUUUCCUUGAAUGCUAAUGAGGACCCACUGGGAGGCUGAGGAGGAGAAGGAUGCUGGCAGAGUCCUGAUAUAGGAGAUGAAUCUAAUUGUGUGUAAGACAACUGAGGGAAGGAAGGAAAGAGAUCAGGAGAUCAGUGCACAGGCUCUAGUCAAAGUCUGAAGAGAAAGCUUCCCUGCUUUCACAGCAGCUAAAGGAUCUGGGUUCAGGUUCAGUCUUACCACUGAUGAACUUGAAUCAGCCACUUCACUUUCCUGAGCUUUUAAUGGCCCAUCAUUAACAUGGGCAUAAAAAAAAAUAAAAAAAAUAAAAAAUAAAAAAAAACCAAGGGGGGAUGAAAACACUAUGGAAACACUAUGGAUCUUGAUAGAGAUGAAGUUGUAUCUAUAACAUCGUGAUUGUUUUAAAUGCCACUGAAUUUCAUACUUUAGAAUGGUUAAUCCUAUGUUGUGAAUUUCACUUCAAUUAAAAAAAACAAAACCACUCCAAGAGUGUCAUGACGAUUAAGUGACAACCCUGGUGGGCUGGUUCCCAUUGCAACUCUCACAUAGGCAUAUUUGAAACUAGCCUUAUUCCCUUCCUUACACUGGCCCCUCUAGGCCUGGAUCCCUCCACAGACUUAGAGCCAACAACUUAUUUGGACCCCCUGAAUGUUUUCCACACUUGUAGUUGUAUCAGUUAUUAAAAUCUCAGUCACUGUGUGGUUCAUAAUGUCAAUGUCCUCUCUCCUGACACUCCUGCUGCUCUUCCACGGAGUGGGCCUGUGCUUGGCCAUAAGGGGUGCUUACAAGCAGGGUGUGAGACAAAUGUUGUUGACGGCUGUGAGAAGCUGUGUUUCCUGGGGCUUCUCCUGCCUGUGUCAUCACCAUUUGGCCCCUGGCCAUGGCCUCAUCCUGGUGCUGAUGCAGGGAGGGAAGGCCAUGUGUCCCCAUCUGUUUGUCAGGGGCCCACUAAAGAGGCAAUUUCCAUGCAGGUGCUGUACAAGGUCCUCAGGCAGCAGUCAGCCUGGACCCCCCAAUAUGGAGGACCCCUGAGGGGCAGCCACAUCUGUGUUAGGAUUGGGGAGUGGAAGGAGUGAAUGGGCUCUCGUCCCUCCUUUCAGAGCUGCUCUUGGCGCUAGCUCAACCAAGUGACCACAUAGGAAGCCUGAAGUCUCUCACCUCCUGUCCCCACCACUCAGCUAAUGUCUAUGCUUCCUUUUGUAGGUCCUCCCUGCUCUUAGUUCCCUAGCUGCUUAGAGGGAAAGUCAUUGUGCUGAAUUCCAAUGUGGACUGGAACUUGCUUUCUCACUCACCACUAGUUAAGAGACGUAUUUAAAUUUACUCCCCAUCUGGCUUUAUGCUUGAUUCUUGAUCGAUUCCAGACCAACAUUUUCUUUCCCUGACUCAAUGAGGACAGAUGACAUCUGUGGUUUACCGCUCCUCCCUCAUUUGUCCCUGGUUUCUUAUGUUCAUUACAUGACGGACUCUAGGAAAAUAGUCAUUGAGAAAAAUAGAUGGUGAAGAGAAGAGAGAGAGCAAAAAGAGAUCAUCUUCACCCUCAGGCUAGCUCUUGUCAGUGGAGAACACAUCCACCAGCCCCUGAGACACUUACUUGCCAGCACUUCAGACAUGCUGGCUCUUCUGGAGGGAGCUGUCAUGGGAAGUCUGAUGUGACAAAGUUGGUGCUCUGCAUAAAGGAGUGGAAAAGGCUGAGAGAUGAGUCUCAAGCCCCCUGGCCUCCUCCCAGCUAAAGCUGUGUCUGCACCAAAAUCACACUGCAGGAAAUGGUCAUGUCCUCUCUACCUGCAGGGACCUCCCCUGACUCUUUUCUGCAUGAAGAGCAGGAUCCUACCUGUGUCUCCAGGAAGCUUUUCCCACCUCUCUAUGGAUCUUAUAUAUUGUGCCCAGGGUCCAGGAGAUGUCUGAUGCAGAAGGGCAGAGUGCUUCCUCUCUGUCCUGCAAUAAUGUCCCUGUGAGAGUCACCGUGUAUUGCAUGUAAAUAAGCUAUAAAGUAAAAAAUAACAUUAAAAAUAACACUUAUCUGGCUGUGUUUCAUUAGUUGCUUUCACCUGUACCUGAGCUAUGAGUUCUUCAAAGACAAUGAUGCUUUACUAAACAUACAACAAACAAAAAGAAGUAUCAACACCUAUCACACAAUGCUGGACACAAAGUAGGCACUUGACAGACAUGGAAGACAGGGGAGCUGCCUUUCCACAGGCAAAUCCUGAGUGGGAAGGUGACACCUGGCUCUUUAGAGCAGCUUUGCCUGAGUUGAAGCCCCUGCUAUAGAUUCCUAUGGUCUUGCUUGUCUUGGCCUAUUCCUAAUAACUCUUACUACCAACUCUACAGAUCCCUGGAACCUCCCACUCUCAGCCAGCACUUGACCAUGAUCUCUUUCCUCAGUUUCUCCUGCCACCGGCCACCAGCUUCUCCAGCUGGACCUUUCAUGGCUUCCCCAGCACUGACCACUGUAUGACUGCCUUGGGUUUUCUUAUUAAGCCAUGCUGUGGGCCUAAUGUUUGUCUCAAAACUCAAUAAAUGGAUGCAUGGAUAUUAGAUUUACAGAGAACAUCAGCUCUGUGAACUGAUGGGCCUGGGAUAGGGGAAAGAACACAGGCAGACCUGCUUCUAAUCCUGGCUCAGCCACUAACUAGCUGUAUGACCAUGACUAGUUACUGACCUUUGAAACUCAGUUCUCUCAUCACUAAAACAACAACCAUGGGUUACCGUGAAGAGUCAAUAACAUGACCCAUAUUAAACUUCAUGACCAUGUGUCUGACACAUGGCACAUUCUCGAAAAUUGUUUUUCUUUCCCUUCCUCUUUUCUGCAAAGAUCUCUGCUGAAUCUAAAUUUCCAACAGCCUUUGAAACCCAUGCUCCCUUAUUAAAUUAUAACUUAGGAAGGUCACUGCGCUGCAAGAAAGUUUAUCUUUUGAAGAUGAAUAAGGAUCCCAGAUGACAGGGACAACCAUUGUGCCCCACAUUACCCUGGAAAAGAUUUCUCAUUCCCAGUUCAAAUUCCAACAGAUAAGGAAAGGGCAUCAAAGACCAUCAAAGUUUACAAAUCACACUUGACAAAAUGAAAACAAUCUAUAGGGAAGUCCUGAGUGAGUGAAAACCUAGGGAGGCCUGGAAAUGACCCUAGGGCUACGAGGGACAAUGGCCUUAGAAUAGAGUAGUCUGCAAACAACUGGGAGCAAAUGGCUCAGCCAGGCUCUACCUGGGCUCUCUGAUGCAGACUCCCUCAAGAACAGAAGGGAGGCAUGGAGGGCAGCAUGUGCCUUGGCCUUCUUCAGAGAGGUGAAAUGAAUUGAUUUUGGAGAUGCCAAACUGAGUACAAAGAGCAGGGGAAGCAGUAGCGUCACCUUGCUAUUAACAGAGCUGUGGUUCUAAGUGAGGUCCCAGGACCAGCAGCAGCAGCAGCAGCAGCAGCAACAGAAAAUCUGGGUUGUUAGAAAUGCAGAUUAGUAGAUACCACCUUAAUUAAUAAGACUUUAUGAAUAAGAAACUCUGGGAUUGCUGAGCAAAUUGUAUUUUAAUAAGUCUACUGGGAGUUUUGAUGCAUCCUAAAAACUGAGAUCCACUGAGGUGGUAGAUACUUUUGUACAUUGUCCUCCCCAUUAUGACAUGGUGGGAGGUGGCAUGACACUGGAAUGGACACAAAUUUUAUAGACAAGAUUUGAAUUCAAAUGUUUUUUCUGCUCCUAAGUGGCAGUGGCACCUUGAAUAAACCCAUCAAUCUCUCAGAAAAUUGAUUUCCUUGAACACAAGAAAUCUACCUCUUGGGGUUGUGUUUAGGUUUGGAAAGAAUGGAAAGGAAGCAUUUUUCAGAGCGGCAAACACACCACAGGUACGCAUCUCAUUAUCAUCCUCAUCACCUCCAUGAUUAUGAAGAAGUCAAGUGAGAACUGUAGGUGCAUUUAUGGAAAAUCAUCAGGCCUCCGAAUGCUAUUUGGUGCCAUGGCUACAUCCUCAUUAAGCUAGGAAGAUGUGGGGAUAACAUUCCCUUUCCAAAUUUGAUAAGAAACCAAUUCCCAUCUACUUUGGAUAUCAUAAUUAUAAGCAUCAUGUGUUCCCUCUCUUCCCCCUUUCCCUUUUCCUUUCACAUAAGUCUCUUAAGCACACAUUAGCCCAGGGUAAAUAUUUGUUGAGUGUCAAAUGAAUGGAUUACCUCAAUUUGCCUUAAUAUGCCCUACUAUUGUGCAAUACAAAGAGCCAAAGAGGCCUUAAGCCUCCUGUGGUGAAAUCACAGUAGCAUGGUCAUAGCACACACCCAAGGGCUGGCAGGAAAUCUUGGGAAAUCAGGCACAGUGGGGACUGAAAGAGACCAAGUUGACUAGGACAGGUAAAAUAAAGGUGAUUUUCCAAAUUUACAUUGUAGUGGCUAGUAGUACCUCCAUCCCUGGCAUUCCAUGUGUUCCCUUCUGCCCUGUUUUCUAGAUCAGCCUGGGGUUUGUCCUUGCUAAUCAGCCCAUUGUCCUAUGUCCUCUGCAACACAGAGCAAACUGGAACCAGAACACCAAAACUGGCCUGCCAUUUUGCCUCUGGGAGGUGUAAUUGUAACUAUUGCUCUUCUAGUCAAAGGGCAUUAAUAAGGGAGCAUGCGUUUCAAAGGCUCACAGAAAUUUAGAUUCAGCAGAGAUCUUUCUGGCCAAAGGGCAUUAAUUCAUUCAAGCCUUUAGCUGCUGCUUCUCCCUCCAGUUGCCAAAGUAGUCACCCUGUGGGCUCCCUGACUCCUAUCUGACUUUUCUCCAUUCAUCUUCAGCCUACAUCUCAUCACAUCAAGUCCCACUGCCUUGGCAGAGCAUUCAAGGUCCUUUGCUAUUGGGCUCAGCUUAUAUGUUCAUCUUUAUUGCUCAGAGCCAGUGUUGCAGUCAAGGCUGCUCCUUGCCUGCUAGUAGGCUUCUUUUCAUUCUUCCUGGCCACUGCCCAAAAGGCUUUUCCUUCUAUUGACUGCCUGGAAGACUGUGACACUUCUUUUUAGAAACUGCCCAAAUUCAGUGGGCUCACCACCACCUGGUAGCUUCCUGAAGUCUUCAUGGAGCCUGAAAUUAAUUCCCCUUUUCUCCUUUUUCUCCACCUACAACUUCCUAGUCUCCUUCCAGAAUUGGAUCUACUAUCUCUUUUAAGCUUUCUAAAAUAUAAUUUUUAACAUAAUUUCAGACUUAAACUUGUACUUGCAAAAUAGUACAACAAAUUCUAAUAUAGUUUUUACCCAGAUUCUCUAAAUUCUUUAGCCACAUUUGCCUUAACCUUCUAUUUUUCUAUAUAUCUAGAGAUAUAAUCUUAUUUUUUCCUGAAUGGCCUGUGUACAGAUAUUAUUUCCCUUUACUCCUUCAGUAUGUUUGUUUUCUAAAACCAAGGAUAUUUUCAUAUUAAUUACAGAUAAGUAUCAAAAUUAGGAAGUUAACUUUGAUACCAACUAUUAUCUAAUCUAUAUAUCUUAUCAAAUUUCACAAACUGUCCCAAAAAAAUUCUUUAUAGAGAAAGAAAGGCUUAGGUCAUGCAUGCAUCAUAUUAAGUCAUCAUGUGCCUUUCAUAGCCUUCAAUAUAAAAUAGUUCUGUAGUCUUUUUGUUUUCCUGACAGUUGAAAUUUCUGAAACAUCUAUGCUGAUAUUUUAUAGGAAACACCUCAUUUUGUGUUUGAUGUUUCCUUACGAUGAGUUCAUAAUUUGGCAGGAGUAUCCCAGGUUGUCUUGGUGUGUUAUAGUAUGAGAUAUAAGAUGUUGAUUUAUUCUGCUUUUCUUGAUGUUAACAUUGGUCACUAGGUGGGUUUGUUGACAUGUCUGACUCCUCCCCUGGCCCAAGAGGCCCUUCUCAACAUCAACAAGGACAUACUGAAAUCUUGGUACCUGAGUAUUUAGGGACACAAGUAGGUAAAGGACAAACACCUGAACCCCUGCCAUGUAUCUGGUUUUGUGGUUGCUUCUCAUUUGAGACUCAUAGCAACCCUAUAAUUUAGAGGUUGCUAUGCUCAUUUUACAGGUAUGUUCAGUUAAGAUGAGCAAUUUGCCUAAAGGCACUUAACUGGUAAGUAGAAGAGCUGGAUUCAAAUCCAGAUCUGACUGCUACUUCUCAUAACAACAAUACCCUGGAGCCAAUAGAUCUAGUCAACAACAUUUGACUGUUUAAAAAAUAAAACAUACAGAGAAAAAGUUAAUACCAAGAUCACCAAAAAAUUUAACACCCUCCUCUAUCAGUGAAGUUGCUUUUUAUUCAUUUAUCCCUUCAAUAAAUAUUUAGUACUAUGUAUCAGAUAGUGUUAUAUAUAAUAUGGAUAUAAUGGUGAACAGCUUACUUGCUAGCAGGACUCUGCAAGUCCCAGAAAAUCCAACUAGAGUGGGUUAAACGAUAAGAAAGCUAGUGGGAAUGCAACUAAAAUGGUUGGUUAACUUAGCAGCCCACAGAAAUCGUGGCUAAGGUUGGAUUCACUGAGAUUCUCUCAGCUUUCCUUUAGGGGCUGCGAGAUGUUUGUAAGUUUUAAGCAAGACAAUGUCAAAGGAAACAAAGGGAACAUUCCCAUCAUUGCCCCUUUAUAUGAGCAAAGAAAACCCUUCUAGUUGACUUCCUUUCUACCUCACAGAACUACAUCCCCACUUGGCAAGAGGAAGGGACUGUCCUGCCUGGCAUAGAAAAUCUGAAUUUGCACCCCCACCACCCACUCAGACCACCUCUAGGCUCAAGCUUCCCCAAAACAUUUGGUCAUUAGAAGAGCAGGACAAUGGACAAAACUGCAACUUCUUCUUUUAAGAAGAAAAGAGUCGGCUGCUGAGUAGGUAACUGACAAUAUUGGUUAAAUUUCCUAUCUACUAAUUUACCAAAUAUUGAGAUUCUGUGGCUUCUUAGAAACUCUUGUUUAGACAAAUAUAAGUUUUCCUCAUUGCUAUUCCUUACAUUCAUUACAUUAAGUUCUGCUUAUUUUAUUUACUGUUAAGUCAUUUAAUGUUGCUCUAUCAUUUUAUCUCUUGUCUCAUUCUAAAAUAUGGUCUUCUUUCCAUAAAAUAUGGUAGCCAAGUAAGGCUUUAAAAGUACUUAAUAACUGGUACUAAGAUGUAAACUCACCAGUGUCCCAGAGAGGGUUCUAGAGGCUGCUGGGCCAGGUAUUUACCAUUCACUUGCUAGAUCUGGGAAUGUCCUAGAGCAGCCCAUUAGUAGAAGGGCAAGGAAAGUAGGGGAAGCCCAGGCCUUCCUGUGUACCAACAAGUAUAGAAAUACUUAUUUUACUUAUUUUUUAAGAGAAAAGACAUAUGUUUUAUUUGGUAACAAGAAGUAUAAAUGAAUUCUUAACUCCACUUCUCCUUUCUGGUGCUAACCUGAAGUCUUAAUAGUCAAAGAAGAGCAACACACAACAACUCCCUUGCAGAUCUUGAUUUUUGCAGAAUUGCAAAGAUAUCUGUACAACUUGCAGUAAUUUUUUAAAUGGAUGUGCCAACUGUUGUGCUUUCCCCUAUAUCAAUGGUUGCUUCAUUCUCCUCCUCUUCUUGUCUUCAGGU
This 36635-nucleotide long non-coding RNA is filed under the name Marmota monax (woodchuck). The stretch from base 6393 to 6461 matches the Rfam family "tRNA". Lineage: Eukaryota; Metazoa; Chordata; Mammalia; Rodentia; Sciuridae. The record is from RNAcentral.